Molecule: ribosomal RNA, 586 nt
Filed under: uncultured bacterium
Lineage: Bacteria
Description: partial 16S ribosomal RNA
Rfam family: Bacterial small subunit ribosomal RNA
Source: RNAcentral
UGGGGAAUUUUGGACAAUGGGCGAAAGCCUGAUCCAGCAAUGCCGCGUGUGUGAAGAAGGCCUUCGGGUUGUAAAGCACUUUUGUCCGGAAAGAAAUCCUUGGCUCUAAUACAGUCGGGGGAUGACGGUACCGGAAGAAUAAGCACCGGCUAACUACGUGCCAGCAGCCGCGGUAAUACGUAGGGUGCAAGCGUUAAUCGGAAUUACUGGGCGUAAAGCGUGCGCAGGCGGUUUGCUAAGACCGAUGUGAAAUCCCCGGGCUCAACCUGGGAACUGCAUUGGUGACUGGCAGGCUAGAGUAUGGCAGAGGGGGGUAGAAUUCCACGUGUAGCAGUGAAAUGCGUAGAGAUGUGGAGGAAUACCGAUGGCGAAGGCAGCCCCCUGGGCCAAUACUGACGCUCAUGCACGAAAGCGUGGGGAGCAAACAGGAUUAGAUACCCUGGUAGUCCACGCCCUAAACGAUGUCAACUAGUUGUUGGGGACUUCAUUUCCUUAGUAACGUAGCUAACGCGUGAAGUUGACCGCCUGGGGAGUACGGUCGCAAGAUUAAAACUCAAAUGAAUUGACGGGGUCAUAGCUGUUUCCU